GGGGAAUAUUGCACAAUGGGGGGAACCCUGAUGCAGCGACGCCGCGUGAGUGAAGAAGUAUUUCGGUAUGUAAAGCUCUAUCAGCAGGGAAGAAAAUGACGGUACCUGACUAAGAAGCCCCGGCUAACUAC
This 131-nucleotide ribosomal RNA is filed under the name uncultured bacterium. Its description in RNAcentral is "partial 16S ribosomal RNA". It matches the Rfam family "Bacterial small subunit ribosomal RNA", at positions 356 to 504 of the family's 1533-position model. The record is from RNAcentral.